This is a non-coding RNA of Misgurnus anguillicaudatus (oriental weatherfish), 869 nucleotides long. The record is from RefSeq and is a predicted model, not a curated record. NCBI's taxonomy places the organism in Eukaryota, Metazoa, Chordata, Actinopteri, Cypriniformes, Cobitidae.
GUCAUAAUAUUUCAAGAAUAAAGUCAAAGAUGUGAGGUUUCGAGAAAAAAAAUAACGAUAUUAAACGCAUAGCAAUACGGAAUUAGAGUCGUAUGUGAUACCUGCCUUUAUUAAUAAAACAAUAUGGGAGAUGUGCUCAAAAAGGCGAUUUGAAGGAAUCUCCCUCAUAUUAAAAGGCAACAUGGGGAAGAUUGUGAAUAAGCAAACUUUGGAAAAUGCAGGACUUUAAAUGCAUCACAUGUCUUUACAGGAUUUUUACAGUAUCAUACAGUAAAUCCCGGAUGCAUUUUCCGUGUAUUAUUCGUAAUGUCUGUGAAAAGGGCUACAGUUAAGUCAAUGAUCAAAUUAGAUUUGGAAGCCAGAAAUUUUGAGAAAUCAGACCAAAAUCCUUUGACAAUGGGGCAUUUGAAAAAAAGAUAACAUAACAAAUAUCAAUAAAUCAAUAACAAAAUUACAUUUGUGGGGUAUAUUAUUCAAAAUAUUUUAAUGUAGUUCUUUAACUUUGUUGGAGACAAAAUGUUAAGAGCCAUGCUGUUUGUUAAAUUAAAGAAUAAGUAAUUUGUAGACGGUCCCUCAGAGUUGAUGACGCAUUUCAAAAACGUCGACUGUUACAGAAUAACGGGUUACCAUUGAUCUAUAUAAUCAGUGAUUGCCACAAUAAAAAUAACGUAUAGUAGAAGAUAUACUUUGUAACGUUUGGACAUAUUGAUCGUGAAGGCUGCAGGAGAGAAAACACCAUGAAAAAUGUAGGAAGUCGCAAAUACGCCUUCAACUCUCUCCAGCUGAAGACUUUCCCCAAACAGUACAUGCUCUGUUUAUCAUGCAUAUGACAAUGUUAAACUCCAACAUUUUAUAGUUUUUGGUUCUGG